GCCUCCUUAGUUAAAUGGAUAUAACAAACCCCUCCUAGGGUUAGUUGAGGGUUCGAUUCCCCCAGGAGGUGCCA
Molecule: transfer RNA, 74 nt
Filed under: Candidatus Faecousia excrementipullorum
Lineage: Bacteria; Bacillati; Bacillota; Clostridia; Eubacteriales; Oscillospiraceae
Description: tRNA-OTHER
Rfam family: tRNA
About the family: Transfer RNA (tRNA) molecules are approximately 80 nucleotides in length. Their secondary structure includes four short double-helical elements and three loops (D, anti-codon, and T loops). Further hydrogen bonds mediate the characteristic L-shaped molecular structure. tRNAs have two regions of fundamental functional importance: the anti-codon, which is responsible for specific mRNA codon recognition, and the 3' end, to which the tRNAs corresponding amino acid is attached (by aminoacyl-tRNA synthetases). tRNAs cope with the degeneracy of the genetic code in two manners: having more than one tRNA (with a specific anti-codon) for a particular amino acid; and 'wobble' base-pairing, i.e. permitting non-standard base-pairing at the 3rd anti-codon position.
Source: RNAcentral